CGAACGCUGGCGGCGUGCUUAACACAUGCAAGUCGAACGAUGAUCCCCAGCUUGCUGGGGUGAUUAGUGGCGAACGGGUGAGUAACACGUGAGUAACCUGCCCUUGACUCUGGGAUAAGCGUUGGAAACGACGUCUAAUACCGGAUACGACCAGCCCUGGCAUCGGGUGUUGGUGGAAAGAAUUUUGGUCAAGGAUGGACUCGCGGCCUAUCAGGUAGUUGGUGAGGUAAUGGCUCACCAAGCCUACGACGGGUAGCCGGCCUGAGAGGGUGACCGGCCACACUGGGACUGAGACACGGCCCAGACUCCUACGGGAGGCAGCAGUGGGGAAUAUUGCACAAUGGGCGAAAGCCUGAUGCAGCAACGCCGCGUGAGGGACGACGGCCUUCGGGUUGUAAACCUCUUUUAGCAGGGAAGAAGCGAAAGUGACGGUACCUGCAGAAAAAAGCACCGGCUAACUACGUGCCAGCAGCCGCGGUAAUACGUAGGGUGCAAGCGUUGUCCGGAAUUAUUGGGCGUAAAGAGCUCGUAGGCGGUUUGUCGCGUCUGCUGUGAAAACCCGAGGCUCAACCUCGGGCCUGCAGUGGGUACGGGCAGACUAGAGUGCGGUAGGGGAGAUUGGAAUUCCUGGU
RNAcentral lists this ribosomal RNA (632 nucleotides) under uncultured Mycetocola sp. Its description in RNAcentral is "bacterial SSU rRNA". It matches the Rfam family "Bacterial small subunit ribosomal RNA", at positions 30 to 674 of the family's 1533-position model. Lineage: Bacteria; Bacillati; Actinomycetota; Actinomycetes; Micrococcales; Microbacteriaceae. The record is from RNAcentral.